GUCUUUAGAGUGGCUGAUUUCACCAAACAAAUAGGAUACCUAGGAGAGAAUCAUUAUUAUUAUAUUAACAUAAAUAAGUUUGUACAAUGGAGCCUUUAUUACCCAAGAUGCCUGCCGCCGUACCACCCCCCGCCGAAAAUGGCGCGCCGCGCAGCGAGCUAGAACAGCUCCAAUUAAAAGCAGGCCAAGUUACUGAUGAGUCUCUGGAGUCGACGCGCCGUAUGAUGCAGCUAUGCGAGGAGAGUCACGAGGUGGGCAUGAAAACCCUGGUCAUGCUGGAUGAACAGGGCGAGCAAUUGGAUAGAAUCGAGGAGGGCAUGGAUCAGAUAAACGCUGAUAUGCGUGAAGCGGAGAAAAAUCUGUCGGGAAUGGAGAAAUGUUGUGGCAUCUGCGUGCUGCCCUGCAACAAGGGUGCAUCAUUCAAGGAAGACGAUGGGACAUGGAAGGGCAACGAUGACGGCAAAGUGGUGAACAACCAGCCGCAGCGGGUGAUGGACGAGCGUAACGGAAUCGGCCCACAGGCUGGGUACAUUGGCAGGAUAACGAACGACGCGCGCGAGGAUGAAAUGGAGGAGAACAUGGGCCAAGUGAACACGAUGAUCGGCAACCUGCGCAACAUGGCCAUCGACAUGGGCUCCGAGCUCGAGAACCAGAACCGGCAGAUCGAUCGUAUCAACCGCAAGGGUGAAUCGAAUGAAACGAGAAUAAAGGUCGCCAACCAGCGCGCCCACGAGCUCCUCAAGUAAACGGCGGCUGCGACACACAUACACACACACCAGUCUCGUGGUCUCGUCGGUUGCAAACACAACACACUUAUACACUUUACUAUAACGGGAGCAAAACAUGGGUUAUACUUAUAUAUAGCGAAGGCGGGAAUGCGUACGUUGGUGUGCGUGCGCGUACGUAACGUGCACGCACAGUAAUUGACAAUAUUUGGAACAUUUAGAUAAUCCUCGUUUCAAUUUGUAGUAGCGUUUAUAAUAUCGAUUAUUUCAUUCGAGUCUUUAAGCUACUGUUUUGUUUGCAACCGACCAACAAUGCACUGAAGAACCAGUAUUUUGCUUAGUAAUUCUCAUUAUCCGAGUUAUAUUAUCAAUUAUAAUAAUCGUACGAACUUUAUGUAGACAUUUUGACGUUGUAUAGUAUCAUUGUAAUAAAUAAAGGGAAUGAUCAAUAUGAGUGAUCGAGAAAUAACGGAAUUAGCUAAGAUAACGUGAUAUACUUUAUUUGAUAAUUGGAAUUGAAAGGAAUAAUAAUAUUAUUAUCCCUUAAGGGAAAAUUAUUAUAAUGCUUCUCUAUAUUUGAUUAGAAUUGAACCUUGCGUUUCGCGCUAUUUUAUUGAAUGGGCUGAACUUAUUUAUUAUAUCCGGUAUUUGCUUUAUUUGGUAAGAAUACUGUUUAAAUCGAAAAAAGACGUGAAGUUUUGAAUAUUGUAUAAGGAUGUAUUUAUAGCAAAAUCUUUCAGCAACUUGAAAACAAUUGUCUGAUAAUAAUUUAGCCUAAAAUUUUGACCACUACAUAGAAAACUUUCUCAAAACAAAAUACAUAAGGAUAAUAAAUUAGAAGAGGAAUACGUACGUGUAAGCAUUGGUCGAUAUGUGAUAAUAGAAUGAAAAUAAGUAAAUUGAUGUGUAAAAUAAGAUUGAUCUGAAUACAUUCGGAUCUUCGUUUGUAUAUUUCAUAGGAGCACUUAUGUUUCAAUUGUUUUGAAUUAUUUUUAUUAUGUACUUAUAGUGACUGCUAACUCAAUGUCAUUUGUGAGCUAUCUUUGAACUAAAUUUAUCACGACAAUGGUUCAGUAGUUUACUAGAAAUCGUAAUAGCAUACAAACUUUCGCAUUUAUUAUAUCUAUAAAAAGACCCUAUAGUAUUAAAUUUUAGUUCCUCAAAUAUAUAACAGUAUGUUAAAUUAUCUAGACAUAUCUCUUAACAUAUCUGCUUCUAUGAAAUUGAUACAAAAAUUAUUUAGAUUUUCUUUAAAUAUGUGCUUACUAUUUAGUAAAUUAAAUCAAUAUAUUAUCGAUUGAAAAUCUUUAUUUUUUAUUUUUUGUAUAAUUUAGAUUUGUAUUUAUUUUUUAUUUUAUUAUGAGAUUAAUAUGUAAUAUCGGUAUGCUUAUGAAUAUACUUUGAGUAAUAAAAUGCAAGUGUUGUAUAGUGAUUUUCUAUAAUAAUGUUAUUUACCCUCAUAUAUUCACUGUCACAUAUACAAAGUCCCAUUUAGUUAGCUUUUUGUGAAUCAUAAAUGAACACAACCACGAGACAUACAUAUACACAAAACAGAGCAUACGGAGAGCAAUAUUGGUGAGAGUAACGAGACGCGCAUAGCCGUCGCGAACCAGCGAGCCAAUAAGCUGCUAAAAUCUUAAGCACCACACCAUGCGAACGUCUAGGUUUUACAGAAUGACGU
Molecule: RNA transcript, 2406 nt
Organism: Colias croceus (clouded yellow)
Lineage: Eukaryota; Metazoa; Arthropoda; Insecta; Lepidoptera; Pieridae
Gene name: synaptosomal-associated protein 25-like
Exons: 9
Source: RefSeq, a predicted model, not a curated record